GAUCCUGGCUCAGAAUCAACGCUGGCGGCGCGCUUAACACAUGCAAGUCGCACGAGAAAGGGGGCAACCCUGAGUAAAGUGGCGCACGGGUGAGUAACACGUGGAUCAUCUACCUUUUAGUGGGGAAUACCCCUGGGAAACCGGGGAUAAUACCGCAUAAGCUCGUGAGAGGAAAGCCGAAAGGCGCUGAAAGAGGAGUCCGCGGCUGAUUAGCUAGUUGGUGAGGUAACGGCCCACCAAGGCGAAGAUCGGUAGCCGGCCUGAGAGGGCACACGGCCACACUGGCACUGAAACACGGGCCAGACUCCUACGGGAGGCA
RNAcentral lists this ribosomal RNA (319 nucleotides) under uncultured Acidobacteriota bacterium. RNAcentral's name for it is "bacterial SSU rRNA". It matches the Rfam family "Bacterial small subunit ribosomal RNA", at positions 15 to 350 of the family's 1533-position model. Lineage: Bacteria; Pseudomonadati; Acidobacteriota. The record is from RNAcentral.